GUAAUAUGUUUCGAUACGUAUAUUGUAAUCAAAAUUCAUUGUUUUAAGAAAGAAGAAAAAUAAACUUCAAAAUCUUCUUUGAAAAAGAAAGUUAAUUUUCAUUGAAAAAACAUCUGCUUAAUUUGGUAGCCAAAUAUCAGAAUGAAAAAAAGAAAAUUCUCAAAGCUGUGAUUCAAAACCUGAAAUAAUUAAAUUCUUAAUUUAGAAUGGAAUUAUUAUAACUGGUCAUAUUUUUCUGCACAUUAAUCUAAAAGAAUUUUGUAUUUGGAUUAUUUAGCCAUUGAAUAUGCACCUGCUUCUCAGAUUGGCAAGGCAACAAUUUACUGUGAAGAAUCAGUUGUUUUGAAUGGCUAAUUGGUUACAGGUGCAAUGAAUUAGCCAUCUGCCUUAGAGACUGACUCAACUAAGGGAAGGAAAAUCCUUUUCUGUCACUUUGGGAGCACAUCAGUGAGCUGUGAUUCUAACUUGGAAUUUGUGGAUUCUAUGUGGGAUGAGGAGACUAAGGCAUAGAGGAAUCAUUUGGCUUAUCUAAAGGCAAGCAGUAGUUAAGAAAACCAGAAGGAAAAGAAACCAAACUUUAUCCUGGAGUGGGAGUCGGGGAAGGAGGAAUGGGGACUAAGUUGGAACAUUUUUCAAGCCUGAAAUUCGGAUAUAAAUACCUGCCAUGCUCUAGGAAGACCGAAGUCAGAUUCCAUUAUUGCUGGAUCAAGUUGGUUGCUAGUGGGAGAUCUGACUGCAGUGGAAUCAACAUAAAAGGCUA
Molecule: long non-coding RNA, 760 nt
Filed under: Vulpes vulpes (red fox)
Lineage: Eukaryota; Metazoa; Chordata; Mammalia; Carnivora; Canidae
Description: lncRNA (ENSVVUG00000021802.1)
Source: RNAcentral